CCUACGGGAGGCAGCAGUGGGGAAUAUUGGGCAAUGGAGGAAACUCUGACCCAGCAACGCCGCGUGAAUGAUGAAGGUCUUCGGAUUGUAAAGUUCUUUUCUAAGGGAAGAAGAACGUGACGGUACCUUAGGAAUAAGCCUCGGCUAACUACGUGCCAGCAGCCGCGGUAAUACGUAGGAGGCGAGCGUUAUCCGGAAGGACUGGGCGUAAAGGGUGCGUAGGUGGUGUGGCAAGUUAGUAGCGUAACUCCAAGGCUCAACCUUGGAACUACUACUAAAACUGUUGGACUUGAGUGCAGGAGGGGCAACCGGAAGUCCUGGUGUAGCGGUGAAAUGCGUAGAUAUUAGGAGGAACACCAGUGGCGAAGGCGGGUUGCUGGACUGUAACUGACACUGAGGCACGAAAGCGUGGGGAGCAAACAGGAUUAGAUACCCUGGUAGUC
RNAcentral lists this ribosomal RNA (443 nucleotides) under uncultured bacterium. RNAcentral describes it as "partial 16S ribosomal RNA". It matches the Rfam family "Bacterial small subunit ribosomal RNA", at positions 338 to 795 of the family's 1533-position model. The record is from RNAcentral.